RNAcentral lists this ribosomal RNA (253 nucleotides) under uncultured bacterium. RNAcentral describes it as "partial 16S ribosomal RNA". It matches the Rfam family "Bacterial small subunit ribosomal RNA", at positions 524 to 776 of the family's 1533-position model. The record is from RNAcentral.
UACGGGGGGGGCAAGCGUUGUUCGGAAUUACUGGGCGUAAAGGGCGCGUAGGCGGUUGGAUAAGUCAGCUGUGAAAACCACGGGCUUAACUCGUGGCCUGCAGUUGAGACUGUCUGGCUUGAGUGUGGGAGAGGAGAGUGGAAUUCCUGGUGUAGCGGUGAAAUGCGUAGAUAUCAGGAGGAACACCUGCGGUGUAGACGGCUUACUGGACCAUAACUGACGCUGAGGCACGAAAGCGUGGGUAGCAAACAGG